RNAcentral lists this ribosomal RNA (800 nucleotides) under uncultured bacterium. RNAcentral describes it as "bacterial SSU rRNA". It matches the Rfam family "Bacterial small subunit ribosomal RNA", at positions 8 to 856 of the family's 1533-position model. The record is from RNAcentral.
AGAGUUUGAUCCUGGCUCAGAACGAACGCUGGCGGCAGGCCUAACACAUGCAAGUCGAGCGCCCAGCAAUGGGAGCGGCGGACGGGUGAGUAACACGUGGGAAUUUUCCUCAAGGUACGGAACAACUCAGGGAAACUUGGGCUAAUACCGUAUGAUGCAGAGAUGCCAAAGAUUUAUCGCCUUGGGAUAAGCCCGCGUCAGAUUAGGUAGUUGGUGGGGUAAUGGCCUACCAAGCCUGUGAUCUGUAGCUGGUCUGAGAGGACGAUCAGCCACAUUGGGACUGAGACACGGCCCAAACUCCUACGGGAGGCAGCAGUGGGGAAUCUUGCGCAAUGGGCGAAAGCCUGACGCAGCCAUGCCGCGUGAAUGAUGAAGGUCUUAGGAUUGUAAAGUUCUUUCGCCCGUGACGAUGAUGACGGUAACGGGAGAAGAAGCCCCGGCUAACUUCGUGCCAGCAGCCGCGGUAAUACGAAGGGGGCUAGCGUUGUUCGGAAUUACUGGGCGUAAAGCGCGCGUAGGCGGUUUUGCAAGCCAGAGGUGAAAUGCCCGAGCUCAACUUGGGAAUUGCCUUUGGGACUGUGAGGCUUCGAGGACGGAAGAGGUGAGUGGAAUUCCCAGUGUAGAGGUGAAAUUCGUAGAUAUUGGGAAGAACACCGGUGGCGAAGGCGGCUCACUGGUCUGUUUCUGACGCUAAAGCGCGAAAGCGUGGGGAUCAAACAGGAUUAGAUACCCUGGUAGUCCACGCUGUAAACGAUGAGUGCUAGGCGUCGGCAGGCUUGCCUGUCGGUGCCGCAGCUAAC